Molecule: microRNA precursor, 102 nt
Filed under: Marmota monax (woodchuck)
Lineage: Eukaryota; Metazoa; Chordata; Mammalia; Rodentia; Sciuridae
Source: RNAcentral
AGUAGCAUAGCUGGGUAAAAUGGGGGUUCCAUUUAAGUUUUCUAAGGAAUCUUCAUACUGCUUUCCAGAUUGGUUGCACCAAUUUACAGUCCUACCAGCAAU